RNAcentral lists this ribosomal RNA (473 nucleotides) under uncultured organism. RNAcentral's name for it is "partial 16S ribosomal RNA". It matches the Rfam family "Bacterial small subunit ribosomal RNA", at positions 335 to 799 of the family's 1533-position model. The record is from RNAcentral.
ACUCCUGCGGGAGGCAGCAGUGGGGAAUUUUGGACAAUGGGGGCAACCCUGAUCCAGCAAUGCCGCGUGAGUGAAGAAGGCCUUCGGGUUGUAAAGCUCUUUUGUCAGGGAAGAAACGGUAGUAGCGAAUAACUAUUACUAAUGACGGUACCUGAAGAAUAAGCACCGGCUAACUACGUGCCAGCAGCCGCGGUAAUACGUAGGGUGCAAGCGUUAAUCGGAAUUACUGGGCGUAAAGCGUGCGCAGGCGGUUGUGUAAGUCAGAUGUGAAAUCCCCGGGCUCAACCUGGGAAUUGCAUUUGAGACUGCACGGCUAGAGUGUGUCAGAGGGGGGUAGAAUUCCACGUGUAGCAGUGAAAUGCGUAGAUAUGUGGAGGAAUACCGAUGGCGAAGGCAGCCCCCUGGGAUAACACUGACGCUCAUGCACGAAAGCGUGGGGAGCAAACAGGAUUAGAUACCCCGGUAGUCCCAUG